GACGAACGCUGGCGGCGUGCCUAAUACAUGCAAGUCGAGCGGACCGAACGAGGGCUUGCUCUUGUUUGGUCAGCGGCGGACGGGUGAGUAACACGUGGGCAACCUGCCCGCAAGACCGGGAUAACUCCGGGAAACCGGAGCUAAUACCGGAUAACACCGAAGACCGCAUGGUCUUCGGUUGAAAGGCGGCCUUUGGGCUGUCACUUGCGGAUGGGCCCGCGGCGCAUUAGCUAGUUGGUGCGGUAACGGCUCACCAAGGCGACGAUGCGUAGCCGGCCUGAGAGGGUGACAGGCAACACUGGGACUGGGACACGGCCCAGACUGCUACGGGAGGGAGCAGUAGGGAAUCUUCCGCAAUGGGGGAAAGCCUGACGGAGCGACGCCGCGUGAGCGAAGAAGGCCUUCGGGUCGUAAAGCUCUGUUGUGAGGGACGAAGGAGCGCCGUUCGAAGAGGGCGGCGCGGUGACGGUACCUCACGAGAAAGCCCCGGCUAACUACGUGCCAGCAGCCGCCGUAA
Molecule: ribosomal RNA, 517 nt
Filed under: uncultured bacterium
Lineage: Bacteria
Description: partial 16S ribosomal RNA
Rfam family: Bacterial small subunit ribosomal RNA
Source: RNAcentral